This 161-nucleotide ribosomal RNA is filed under the name uncultured delta proteobacterium. Its description in RNAcentral is "partial 16S ribosomal RNA". It matches the Rfam family "Bacterial small subunit ribosomal RNA", at positions 397 to 551 of the family's 1533-position model. The record is from RNAcentral. Lineage: Bacteria; Deltaproteobacteria.
CCGCGUGGAUGAUGAAGGCCCCUGGGUCCUAAAAUCUGUCCGUUGGGAAGAAAUGUAUAGUGGUAAAUACCGAUUAUAUUGACGGUACCAGCAAAGGAAGCACCGGCUAACUCCGUGCCAGCAGCCGCGGUAAUACGGAGGGUGCAAGCGUUGUUCGGAUA